Long non-coding RNA from Zingiber officinale, 183 nucleotides. RefSeq lists it as uncharacterized. The transcript has 3 exons. The record is from RefSeq and is a predicted model, not a curated record. Lineage: Eukaryota; Viridiplantae; Streptophyta; Magnoliopsida; Zingiberales; Zingiberaceae.
UCCAUCAGGCAGUAGUUGUGAGCAUUGACCCUCGGAGAGUCUUUGUCGGGAGCCCUGAUGAUGUUGAAUUUAAGACCAUUAAGGUUUCUUCCCCAGGCCCCUCAGGUGAAGAGUAGGCAUGGUAUCAGUGCACAGUCAAUGGUGGACGUGAGGUUCGGCCUAUUGGAGCUUUUGAACUUGCAA